AUGGAUCAUUCGGUUUUCUGGUUUUUUUUUUUUAAUUUAAGGAGGAAAAAAAACAGAGGAAAUAUUGGUGUUUUCUUUUUUACUCAACAUCAACUUCAUUAGAUCAUCAAAUUAAGUAGGUGUUGGAUGAGAGUUAUGUUAUACAUUAAUGGUGUUGAAUAAGAA
RNAcentral lists this small RNA (165 nucleotides) under Arabidopsis thaliana (thale cress). RNAcentral's name for it is "ATSL027650". Lineage: Eukaryota; Viridiplantae; Streptophyta; Magnoliopsida; Brassicales; Brassicaceae. The record is from RNAcentral.